UUUUGAUGGUAUUUGUAGUGGAAAUCAUUCAAAUUUCUGUGAUGGUUUAUUGUUUUUGUCAGCAGGGUCACCAUGGGUUUUGUUAUGUGGCAGCAGAACAGAAGUCAC
This is a long non-coding RNA of Sinocyclocheilus grahami, 108 nucleotides long. RefSeq lists it as uncharacterized. The record is from RefSeq and is a predicted model, not a curated record. NCBI's taxonomy places the organism in Eukaryota, Metazoa, Chordata, Actinopteri, Cypriniformes, Cyprinidae. The transcript has 3 exons.